RNAcentral lists this ribosomal RNA (253 nucleotides) under uncultured bacterium. Its description in RNAcentral is "partial 16S ribosomal RNA". It matches the Rfam family "Bacterial small subunit ribosomal RNA", at positions 524 to 776 of the family's 1533-position model. The record is from RNAcentral.
GACAGAGGGUGCAAACGUUGCUCGGAAUCACUGGGCGUAAAGGGCGUGUAGGCGGGAAGGAAAGUCAGAUGUGAAAUCCCUGGGCUCAACCCAGGAACUGCAUUUGAAACUCCCUUUCUUGAGUGUCGGAGAGGAAAGCGGAAUUCCUGGUGUAGAGGUGAAAUUCGUAGAUAUCAGGAGGAACACCGGUGGCGAAGGCGGCUCUCUGGACGGUGACUGACGCUGAGACGCGAAAGCGUGGGGAGCAAACAGG